RNAcentral lists this unclassified non-coding RNA (406 nucleotides) under soil metagenome. Its description in RNAcentral is "partial contains 5.8S ribosomal RNA, internal transcribed spacer 2, and large subunit ribosomal RNA". The stretch from base 1 to 121 matches the Rfam family "5.8S ribosomal RNA", at positions 35 to 154 of the family's 154-position model. The record is from RNAcentral.
GAUGAAGAACGCAGCGAAAUGCGAUAAGUAAUGUGAAUUGCAGAAUUCAGUGAAUCAUCGAAUCUUUGAACGCACCUUGCGCCCUUUGGCCAUUCCGAAGGGCAUGCCUGUUUGAGUAUCAUGAACACCUCAACUCUUCAUGGUUUUCCGUGAUGAGCUUGGACUUUGGGGGUCUUGCUGGCCUAUGGUCAGCUCCUCUAAAAUAAAUCAGCUUGCCAGUGUUUGGUGGGUAUCACAGGUGUGAUAACUAUCUACGCUUGUGGUUUUCCAUCAGGUAACCUUCAGCAGUGGAGGUUCGCUGGAGCUCACAGAUGUGUCUCUCCUCAGUGAGGACAGCUCUUUGAAUGUUUGAUCUCAAAUCAGGUAGGACUACCCGCUGAACUUAAGCAUAUCAAUAAGCGGAGGA